GAACCAGUACCGUGAGGGAAAGGCGAAAAGAACCCCGGGAGGGGAGUGAAAUAGAUCCUGAAACCGCAUGCAUACAAACAGUCGGAGCCUGGAAACGGGUGACGGCGUACCUUUUGUAUAAUGGGUCAGCGACUUACAUUCAGUGGCAAGCUUAACCGAUUAGGGAAGGCGUAGCGAAAGCGAGUCCGAAUAGGGCGUUCAGUCGCUGGGUGUAGACCCGAAACCAAGUGAUCUAUCCAUGGCCAGGUUGAAGGUGCGGUAACACGUACUGGAGGACCGAACCCACUAACGUUGAAAAGUUAGGGGAUGAGCUGUGGAUAGGGGUGAAAGGCUAAACAAACUUGGAAAUAGCUGGUUCUCUCCGAAAACUAUUUAGGUAGUGCCUCGUGUCUCACCUUCGGGGGUAGAGCACUGUCAUGGUUGGGGGGUCUAUUGCUGAUUACCCCGCCAUAGCAAACUCCGAAUACCGAAGAGUGCAAUCACGGGAGACAGACAUCGGGUGCUAACGUCCGGUGUCAAGAGGGAAACAACCCAGACCGCCAGCUAAGGUCCCUAAGAUUGGCUAAGUGGGAAACGAAGUGGGAAGGCUAAAACAGUCAGGAGGUUGGCUUAGAAGCAGCCACCCUUUAAAGAAAGCGUAAUAGCUCACUGAUCGAGUCGUCCUGCGCGGAAGAUGUAACGGGGCUAAGCCAGUCACCGAAGCUGCGGAUGCACGUAAGUGCAUGGUAGGAGAGCGUUCUGUAAGCCUGUGAAGGUGUCUUGUAAAGGAUGCUGGAGGUAUCAGAAGUGCGAAUGCUGACAUGAGUAGCGAUAAAGGGGGUGAAAGGCCCCCUCGCCGUAAGCCCAAGGUUUCCUACGCAACGUUCAUCGGCGUAGGGUGAGUCGGCCCCUAAGGCGAGGCAGAGAUGCGUAGCUGAUGGGAAGCAGGUUAAUAUUCCUGCACCGUCGUAUGAUGCGAUGGGGGGACGGAUCGCGGAAGGUUGUCCGGGUGUUGGAUGUCCCGGUCCCUGCAUUGGAGAUGGCACUUAGGCAAAUCCGGGUGCGUGAUUCAAGGGUGUGGGGCGAGCGACUUUAGGUCGCGAAGCAAUUGGAAGUGGUUCCAAGAAAAGCCUCUAAGCUUCAGUCAUACGAGACCGUACCGCAAACCGACACAGGUGGGCGAGAUGAGUAUUCUAAGGCGCUUGAGAGAACUCGGGAGAAGGAACUCGGCAAAUUGGUACCGUAACUUCGGGAUAAGGUACGCCCUUGUAGUUUGACUGGCUCGCGCCAGAAGGACGAAGGGGUUGCAAUAAAAUGGUGGCUGCGACUGUUUAAUAAAAACACAGCACUCUGCAAACACGAAAGUGGACGUAUAGGGUGUGACGCCUGCCCGGUGCCGGAAGAUUAAGUGAUGGGGUGCAAGCUCUUGAUCGAAGCCCCGGUAAACGGCGGCCGUAACUAUAACGGUCCUAAGGUAGCGAAAUUCCUUGUCGGGUAAGUUCCGACCUGCACGAAUGGCGUAACGAUGGCCACACUGUCUCCUCCCGAGACUCAGCGAAGUUGAAGUGUUUGUGAUGAUGCAAUCUCCCCGCGGCUAGACGGAAAGACCCCAUGAACCUUUACUGUAGCUUUGCAUUGGACUUUGAACCGAUCUGUGUAGGAUAGGUGGGAGGCUUUGAAACCGGGACGCUAGUUUCGGUGGAGCCGACCUUGAAAUACCACCCUGGUUUGUUUGAGGUUCUAACCUUGGCCCGUGAAUCCGGGUCGGGGACAGUGCAUGGUAGGCAGUUUGACUGGGGCGGUCUCCUCCCAAAGUGUAACGGAGGAGUUCGAAGGUACGCUUGGUACGGUCGGACAUCGUACCUAAAGUGCAAUGGCAAAAGCGUGCUUAACUGCGAGACCGACAAGUCGAGCAGGUGCGAAAGCAGGACAUAGUGAUCCGGUGGUUCUGUAUGGAAGGGCCAUCGCUCAACGGAUAAAAGGUACUCUGGGGAUAACAGGCUGAUACCGCCCAAGAGUUCAUAUCGACGGCGGUGUUUGGCAC
Molecule: ribosomal RNA, 2023 nt
Filed under: marine sediment metagenome
Description: bacterial LSU rRNA
Rfam family: Bacterial large subunit ribosomal RNA
Source: RNAcentral